RNAcentral lists this ribosomal RNA (395 nucleotides) under uncultured bacterium. RNAcentral's name for it is "partial 16S ribosomal RNA". It matches the Rfam family "Bacterial small subunit ribosomal RNA", at positions 523 to 918 of the family's 1533-position model. The record is from RNAcentral.
AUACGUAGGGUGCAAGCGUUAAUCGGAAUUACUGGGCGUAAAGCGUGCGCAGGCGGUUUUGUAAGACAGUGGUGAAAUCCCCGGGCUCAACCUGGGAACUGCCAUUGUGACUGCAAGGCUGGAGUGAGGCAGAGGGGGAUGGAAUUCCGCGUGUAGCAGUGAAAUGCGUAGAUAUGGGGAGGAACACCGAUGGCGAAGGCAAUCCCCUGGGCCUGCACUGACGCUCAUGCACGAAAGCGUGGGGAGCAAACAGGAUUAGAUACCCUGGUAGUCCACGCCCUAAACGAUGUCAACUGGUUGUUGGGGAUUUAUUUUCUCAGUAACGAAGCUAACGCGUGAAGCUGACCGCCUGGGGAGUACGGCCGCAAGGUUAAAACUCAAAGGAAUUGACGGGG